UGCCUCCCACGCCCCGGUGCCCCCCGUUCCCCCCCACCUGGGACGUGGCGCUCUGCGAACUUGACGCUGAGGCGGUAGCUGCCCGGCUCGGUGGGGCAGUAGGACACCUUGCAGGUCCCGUCCUCGGCGUCCUCGCAGUGGAUGUCCACCUUGCUGGGCCCCUCCACCGACAGCCCCAGCCCGCCGUACCCUGCGCCCGGGGGGGGAAAGAGACGGCCCAUGGACCCCCCCGCCGCAGCCCGGCCGCGGGGCUACCGUUACGGGGGGGUGGUGGCCGUGGCUGCCGGCUCGGCCGGCUUGGUGAUGCUCGGGGGGCCUGCGGAUCACGUGUUGGCUAUGGCAUCAUGUGGCCACCAUCAUGGCCACCAUCCCAUCCCAUGUUGGCUAUGGACAUCACGUGGCCACCAUCGUGGCCACCAUCCCAUCCCAUAUUGGCUAUGGACAUCAUGUGGCCACCAUCGUGGCCACCAUCCCAUCCCAUAUUGGCUAUGGCCACCAUCAUGGCCACCAUCCCAUCCCAUAUUGGCUAUGGCCACCAUCAUGGCCACCAUCCCAUCCCAUGUUGGCUAUGGCCACCAUCAUGGCCACCAUCCCACCGUGUUGGCUAUGCACAUCAUGUGGCCACCAUCAUGGCCACCAUUCCAUACUGGCUAUGGCCAUCACAUGGCCACCAGCAUGGCCACCAUCCCAUGUUGGUUAUGGCCAUCAUAUGGCCACCAUCACAGCCACCAUCCCAUCCCAUGUUGGCUAUGGUCAUCACGUGGCCACCAUCAUAAUCACCAUCCCAUUCCGUGUUGGCUAUGGCCACCAUCAUGGCCACCAUUCCAUCCCAUGUUGGCUAUGGCCAUCACAUGGCCACCAUCCCACCCUGUGUUGGCUAUGGCCAUCAAGUGGCCAUCAUCACAGCCACCAUCCCAUCCUAUGUUGGCUAUGGCCAUCACAUGGCCACCAUUCAUGGCCACCAUCCCAUGUUGGUUAUGGCCAUCACAUGGCCACCAUCAUGGCUACCAUUCCACGUUAGCUAUGGCCACCAUCAUGGCCACCAUCCCAUCCCAUGUUGGCUAUGGCCACCAUCACAGCCACCAUCCCAUCCUAUGUUGGCUAUGGCCACCAUUAUGGCCACCAUCCCAUCCCAUGUUGGUUAUGGCUAUCACAUGGCCACCAUCAAGCCACCACCAUGGCCACCAUCCCAUUCCAUGUUGGCUAUGGCCACUAUCAUGGCAACCGUCCCACCCUGUGUUGGCUUUGGCCAUCACGUGGACACAGUCACCAUCAUGGCCACCAUCAUGGCCACCAACAUGACCACCCCGAUGGCCACCAUCUGCUCCCAUGUUGACCAUGACCACAACACAGCCCUGGCUGCCACCCCAUCC
RNAcentral lists this long non-coding RNA (1373 nucleotides) under Phasianus colchicus (ring-necked pheasant). Its description in RNAcentral is "lncRNA (ENSPCLG00000016603.1)". The record is from RNAcentral. Lineage: Eukaryota; Metazoa; Chordata; Aves; Galliformes; Phasianidae.